GUCCCCGUCAAUCUCUCCGUUCCCCUGAAUCACAGACCCAAGAUAUCGGACACUGUCCCUCUUGGCGAUGGCCUGAGAACCAAGCAUCACAUCCCUGAGAAUCAAGCUAUAUAUACUUUUCUUUUGCUUAAAUGAUGACAGCUAAUUCAACUAUGUACAAUCUUUAGAACCCAAAGGAAGUAAAAAUCAACAAAGAAGAAGAACUUUAAUCUAUGAGAUAGUGAUACACUUUAGGAAUUGAAUGCCAC
This 248-nucleotide long non-coding RNA is filed under the name Nicotiana benthamiana. RNAcentral describes it as "long non-coding RNA (NBEN_LNC003542)". The record is from RNAcentral. Lineage: Eukaryota; Viridiplantae; Streptophyta; Magnoliopsida; Solanales; Solanaceae.